UAUAGAACUGCUCUCUGGCGUCAGUUUAAACACUCAGAGCUGUACUCCGCACGACGUGAUGAUGUCGGCGUCCAAGGCCCUAACAAUUGUUUUGCUGACGAUGACUAUCCUUUUCAUAACUCAGACAUCCUCCAUGUCAUCUUGCGGCGGCGCGUGUGUGCUGUACCAGAACGGAUGGGAGACAAGCUGCCCCCGUACUUGCAAAUGCGUUGUUCUCUACAAAGAUGCCUUUGGAAGCGGUAGAGGGACAUGCGAACGUGGUACCUAACUGGCAGCUGCAAUAGGGUGCUGCGUUUUUUUGGUCGGCUGCCCCAUUGAAUAAAGAAACAU
RNAcentral lists this long non-coding RNA (330 nucleotides) under Dermacentor andersoni. Its description in RNAcentral is "uncharacterized LOC126538855". The record is from RNAcentral. Lineage: Eukaryota; Metazoa; Arthropoda; Arachnida; Ixodida; Ixodidae.